CCUACGGGUGGCUGCAGUCGAGAAUCUUCGGCAAUGGGCGCAAGCCUGACCGAGCGACGCCGCGUGCGGGAUGAAGGUCUUCGGAUUGUAAACCGCUGUCGGAGGGGAUGAAAUGCAUGGGGGUACUCCCCUGUGUUUGACAGAGCCUCGGAGGAAGCACGGGCUAAGUUCGUGCCAGCAGCCGCGGUAAUACGAACUGUGCGAAUGUUCUUCGGAAUCACUUGGCUUGGCGGCUGCGUAGGUCAGGUGUGAAAUCCCCCGGCUCAACCGGGGAACUGCGCUUGAAACUGGGGUGCUCGAGUGAGGUAGGGGUGUAUGGAACUUCCGGUGGAGCGGUGAAAUGUGUAGAUAUCGGAAGGAACGCCGGCGGCGAAAGCGGUACACUGGGCCUUGUCUGACGCUGAGGCACGAAAGCUAGGGGAGUGAACGGGAUUAGAUACCCGGGUAGUC
Molecule: ribosomal RNA, 450 nt
Filed under: uncultured bacterium
Lineage: Bacteria
Description: partial 16S ribosomal RNA
Rfam family: Bacterial small subunit ribosomal RNA
Source: RNAcentral